GACGUAGGUGGCGAACGUUAUCCGGAAUUAUUGGGCGUAAAGGAUGCGUAGAUGGUGUAGUAAGUUAUCGGUGGCAAAUCGAGGCUCAACCUCGUGGAAGUCGGUAAUACUGCUAUGCUAGAGGAUAGGAGAGGUUAACGGAACUCCCUGUGGAGCGGUGAAAUGCGUAGAUAUAGGGAAGAACACCAAUCAGGCGAAGGCAGUUAACUAUUCUAUUCCUGACAUUGAGGCAUGAAGGCGUGGGGAGCAAAACGG
This 255-nucleotide ribosomal RNA is filed under the name uncultured bacterium. RNAcentral's name for it is "partial 16S ribosomal RNA". It matches the Rfam family "Bacterial small subunit ribosomal RNA", at positions 524 to 776 of the family's 1533-position model. The record is from RNAcentral.